Actinia tenebrosa (Australian red waratah sea anemone) is the source of this 609-nucleotide long non-coding RNA. RefSeq lists it as uncharacterized. NCBI's taxonomy places the organism in Eukaryota, Metazoa, Cnidaria, Anthozoa, Actiniaria, Actiniidae. The record is from RefSeq and is a predicted model, not a curated record.
ACUUCCUGCACGAGAAGAGGAUAUGUUGUUAGAGAGGGAACUAGGAACUAGGAGCUGAUUGGAUGAUAGAAAGUGAAAAUGAGGCAUAACUGUGGAGAUGGUUAUAAGAGCUAAAGCAGCAGCUGUAAAAUCAUCAGCAACAGCGAAACAGCGAAAACAAACGGACAACAUCCACAGCAACUAAAACAGCAACAACUGAAAACAAUAAACCAAAUCCAGACAUUAACCGGCCCUGUAACAACCUCUAGGCUGAUCAAAGUAAACGCACGGAUAACUACUGACAGAUAAAAUCAAAGUUUAGCUUGUUUUCAGCGGAGGGAGGAAAGACAGAGAAAGCCCCUCGAUUAAGGGGAGAGACAAAACAAACUCUGGUCGCAUGUGGUGCCGAGUUCAAGUAUCGACCCCGAGUGCCCAGAGGAACUUGUCGGUUCCGGCAAGAUUGGCCUGUGUGGGGCAUUCGUAACAUGUUAUCUAUCGUAUUGGUUCUGUUAAUAACUGUACUGUAACGUCUAUAGAUGGGAACCCAAACAUCUUAAUGUGUUGUUUAUUUGGUUUGAAUUAUUGUGCCCUUAGCCUACAGCAAAACCUGAUAUGUACUGAUAAUACUAA